Molecule: non-coding RNA, 733 nt
Organism: Nicotiana tabacum (common tobacco)
Lineage: Eukaryota; Viridiplantae; Streptophyta; Magnoliopsida; Solanales; Solanaceae
Source: RefSeq, a predicted model, not a curated record
AGUGUAACUCUCUUGAGAUGAAGAGUCCUACGUGAAAUCUUUUUCCCUCAAGGCAAAGCCUCCUGCCUGAAAUCUUUUCAUAAAUUGCCAACUUAAGGCUUUUUUAUGUGAUCCAAAAAUUUCUUAUGUAGCAAUAUUUACCUAUAAAUCCUAAAAGCCUCUACUGUUACCUCUUAUUUGUCAAGGAUUUUUUAGACUGUAAUCUGUUGCUCAAUUUUGUAGUGCUGAUUUUUCCUUUGUGAUGUAGAGAACUCCUGAUAUCAAGUUGUCUACCGUUGCACCUGAGAAUUCUUACCAGAAGCAGUAUCAAGAGGAUAUGCAAGAAGCUGCUGAAAACUUUGUUGAUAAUUCUUCUGUUGGUAUUGGAAGUUCUUCGGCUGAUAUUGAUGAAGAGCAGGAUAAUCUUGACGAACUUGCAAAUGCUUCUGGUACCGAAUUUGAGAUUCCUGCAAGCUUUGAUGAACAGAUUGGAAUUGAUUCACAUAUGGGUGCUGACUGGCCUGGGACAUGACGUACAUGGUUCCAAGUUGACACAGAGCAUGGAGAUUCCACAUAAUAUUACCGUUGGCUUAAAGUUUGUAAAGCAUCUGUCAAUAUAACCAAUACCUCACUUGUGUAUCUUAGGAGUUGGGAGUUAGGACUUGGGAGGUAGGGAUAUUUGUAUAUUAGUAUAUACUUUGGUUGAUACAUGUCAUAGAAUUUCUCGAAUUUAAUUUUUCUUCUGGCUUCUUUC